This 317-nucleotide unclassified non-coding RNA is filed under the name Hevea brasiliensis (rubber tree). Lineage: Eukaryota; Viridiplantae; Streptophyta; Magnoliopsida; Malpighiales; Euphorbiaceae. The record is from RNAcentral.
AGAGGAAACUGCUUCUGGUAUUGUUGCUCCAUAUGUAUUUGAGGCUGUGAGGAUGACGAUGGAGGUUCAUAAAACAGAGAAAGAAGGGACCAUUCUUGCCUUUUUAACUUCUCAGAUGGAAGUAGAAUGGGCUUGUGAGGAAUUUGAAACUCCCUCUGCAGUUGCAUUACCCUUACAUGGAAAGCUUUCUGGUGAAGAGCAACAUCGUAUUUUCGAAAAUUAUCCUGGGAAAAGAAAAGUUAUAUUUGCCACUAAUCUUGCAGAGACUUCACUUACAAUUCCUGGGGUCAAGUAUGUGGUUGACUCUGGCAUGGUCA